UACAGAGGGGGCAAGCGUUAUUCGGAAUUAUUGGGCGUAAAGGGCGCGUAGGCGGCAUGGCAAGUGGAUGGUGAAAUCCCUCGGCUUAACCGAGGAACUGCCGUCCAAACUGCUUCGCUUGAGACCGGGAGAGGUGAGUGGAAUUCCCAGUAUAGCGGUGAAAUGCGUAGAUAUUGGGAGGAACACCAGUGGCGAAGGCGGCUCACUGGACCGGUACUGACGCUGAAGCGCGAAAGCGUGGGGAGCAAACGGG
Molecule: ribosomal RNA, 253 nt
Filed under: uncultured bacterium
Lineage: Bacteria
Description: partial 16S ribosomal RNA
Rfam family: Bacterial small subunit ribosomal RNA
Source: RNAcentral